RNAcentral lists this ribosomal RNA (447 nucleotides) under uncultured bacterium. Its description in RNAcentral is "SSU rRNA". It matches the Rfam family "Bacterial small subunit ribosomal RNA", at positions 26 to 518 of the family's 1533-position model. The record is from RNAcentral.
AGAGCGAACGCUGGCGGCAGGCUUAACACAUGCAAGUCGAGCGGGCAUAGCAAUAUGUCAGCGGCAGACGGGUGAGUAACGCGUGGGAACAUACCUUUUGGUUCGGAACAACACAGGGAAACUUGUGCUAAUACCGGAUAAGCCCUUACGGGGAAAGAUUUAUCGCCGAAAGAUUGGCCCGCGUCUGAUUAGCUAGUUGGUGGGGUAACGGCCCACCAAGGCGACGAUCAGUAGCUGGUCUGAGAGGAUGAUCAGCCACAUUGGGACUGAGACACGGCCCAAACUCCUACGGGAGGCAGCAGUGGGGAAUAUUGGACAAUGGGCGCAAGCCUGAUCCAGCCAUGCCGCGUGAGUGAUGAAGGCCCUAGGGUUGUAAAGCUCUUUGUGCGGGAAGAUAAUGACGGUACCGCAAGAAUAACGCCCGGCUAACUUCGCGCCAGCAGCCGC